GACGAACGCUGGCGGCGUGCUUAACACAUGCAAGUCGAACGGAAAGGCCCUGCUUUUGUGGGGUGCUCGAGUGGCGAACGGGUGAGUAACACGUGAGUAACCUGCCCUUGACUUUGGGAUAACUUCAGGAAACUGGGGCUAAUACCGGAUAGGAGCUCCUGCUGCAUGGUGGGGGUUGGAAAGUUUCGGCGGUUGGGGAUGGACUCGCGGCUUAUCAGCUUGUUGGUGGGGUAGUGGCUUACCAAGGCUUUGACGGGUAGCCGGCCUGAGAGGGUGACCGGCCACAAUGGGACUGAGAGACGGCCCAGACUGCUACGGGAGGCAGCAGUGGGGAACAUUGCAGAAUGGGCGGAAGCCUGAUGCAGCAACGCCGCGUGCGGGAUGACGGCCUUCGGGUUGUAAACCGCUUUCGCCUGUGACGAAGCGGGAGUGACGGUAAUGGGUAAAGAAGCACCGGCUAACUACGUG
This 468-nucleotide ribosomal RNA is filed under the name uncultured bacterium. RNAcentral's name for it is "partial 16S ribosomal RNA". It matches the Rfam family "Bacterial small subunit ribosomal RNA", at positions 28 to 507 of the family's 1533-position model. The record is from RNAcentral.